RNAcentral lists this ribosomal RNA (52 nucleotides) under Halimeda macroloba. RNAcentral's name for it is "partial 28S ribosomal RNA". The record is from RNAcentral. Lineage: Eukaryota; Viridiplantae; Chlorophyta; Ulvophyceae; Bryopsidales; Halimedaceae.
UGCGAUGUCGUCGGCAAGGAAACCCGCUGAACUUAAGCAUAUCAAUAAGCGG